RNAcentral lists this long non-coding RNA (392 nucleotides) under Marmota monax (woodchuck). Lineage: Eukaryota; Metazoa; Chordata; Mammalia; Rodentia; Sciuridae. The record is from RNAcentral.
AUCCUCUCUCAUGUGGCCACUUCUGCUGCUUUUUCCCCAGAAAUAUUUAGCAUUGUUUGAGGCGGAGCUGAAAAAAAUCCAGAAUGACCACAAUGUCCAGGUGGAGGAGGCCCAGCGCUGGAAGGAGAGCUGGAAGUGCUCCCUGCAAACCAUCCACAGCCUCUACACCUGACACCCUCCCCCACCCCCAAUAAAGCUUUAUUCUGUGCUGGGCGGUGGCUACAGGAGUCAGUUACUUAAAAUAGACCCUAAGACUGUGAAGGAAAUGACAUCCAAAAGCAUGCCUGGCACUUCUGUUCAUUUCUUCUGAAAGGAGCUCUGCAAAGACAGGGCCCAGCAGUCAGGGCAUAAGGUAUCAGGGGCCAGCCCGGCCAGUAUUGCUGGAAAACACC